UUGUCGGUGGUGCAAAUGGGUUAACAUGCUUGACUGCUAACCAAAAGGCUGAAGGUUUGAGUCCUCCCAGACAUG
This 75-nucleotide transfer RNA is filed under the name Loxodonta africana (African savanna elephant). It matches the Rfam family "tRNA". Rfam says of the family: Transfer RNA (tRNA) molecules are approximately 80 nucleotides in length. Their secondary structure includes four short double-helical elements and three loops (D, anti-codon, and T loops). The record is from Rfam by way of RNAcentral. Lineage: Eukaryota; Metazoa; Chordata; Mammalia; Proboscidea; Elephantidae.